Antechinus flavipes (yellow-footed antechinus) is the source of this 130-nucleotide small nucleolar RNA. RefSeq annotates it as small nucleolar RNA SNORA77. The record is from RefSeq and is a predicted model, not a curated record. The transcript has a single exon. Lineage: Eukaryota; Metazoa; Chordata; Mammalia; Dasyuromorphia; Dasyuridae.
GCAGACUCACUCUGUACAUGACUGCCUUCCUCAGUCUUGCUGCUUUUCCGGUCUGCUAGAGAAGUGACCCCCGGUGUUGCAAAACCUUGCUCUGGUGAAGGGCCGUUGCAACUGCCUGGGAGACAUCCCG